RNAcentral lists this ribosomal RNA (422 nucleotides) under uncultured bacterium. RNAcentral describes it as "bacterial SSU rRNA". It matches the Rfam family "Bacterial small subunit ribosomal RNA", at positions 355 to 774 of the family's 1533-position model. The record is from RNAcentral.
UGAGGAAUAUUGGUCAAUGGGUGCAAGCCUGAACCAGCCAUCCCGCGUGAAGGACGACUGCCCUAUGGGUUGUAAACUUCUUUUGUAUAGGGAUAAACCUACCCUCGUGAGAGUAGCUGAAGGUACUAUACGAAUAAGCACCGGCUAACUCCGUGCCAGCAGCCGCGGUACUACGGAGGGUGCAAGCGUUAUCCGGAUUUAUUGGGUUUAAAGGGUCCGUAGGCGGACGUAUAAGUCAGUGGUGAAAGCCUGUCGCUUAACGAUAGAACUUGCAUUGAUACUGUAAGUCUUGAGUAUAUUUGAGGUAGCUGGAAUAAGUAGUGUAGCGGUGAAAUGCAUAGAUAUUACUUAGAACACCAAUUGCGAAGGCAGGUUACCAAGAGAGAACUGACGCUGAGGGACGAAAGCGUGGGGAGCGAACA